This 265-nucleotide signal recognition particle RNA is filed under the name Bacillota bacterium. RNAcentral's name for it is "Firmicutes bacterium signal recognition particle sRNA large type". It matches the Rfam family "Bacterial large signal recognition particle RNA". Rfam says of the family: The signal recognition particle (SRP) is a universally conserved ribonucleoprotein involved in the co-translational targeting of proteins to membranes. Archaeal SRP consists of a 7S RNA and homologues of the eukaryotic SRP19 and SRP54 proteins. Lineage: Bacteria; Bacillati; Bacillota. The record is from RNAcentral. RNAcentral also lists the same sequence under 1 other name.
UCGUGCUAGACGGGGAGGUAGCGGUGCCCUGUACCCGCAAUCCGCUGUAGCGGGGUCGAAUUCCCGCCCGAGGCCGCGGUGUUGCGGGGUCUGACCUGCGUAAGCGGCGCUGAAGGUUCGGUCCCGCGCAACGGUGCCUCGUGAACCCCGUCAGGCCCGGAAGGGAGCAGCGGUAAGCGAGUGCGGCCGUGUGCCGCGGGGAAGCCGGGCCCGAGCAGGCUGCGCGGGUUCCGCCCGGAACGCCCGGUCGACGGCGGGUGCACGA